RNAcentral lists this ribosomal RNA (230 nucleotides) under uncultured bacterium. Its description in RNAcentral is "partial 16S ribosomal RNA". It matches the Rfam family "Bacterial small subunit ribosomal RNA", at positions 562 to 791 of the family's 1533-position model. The record is from RNAcentral.
AAAGGGUGCGUAGGUGGUCAUUUAAGUCUGAUUUGAAAGCAAGCGGCUUAACCGUUUGAUGUGGUUGGAAACUGAAUGACUUGAAUGGGUUGGCGGUAGCCGGAAUGGGUCAUGUAGCGGUGAAAUGCAUAGAUAUGACCCGGAACACCGAUUGCGAAGGCAGGCUACUACGACUUGAUUGACACUGAGGCACGAGAGCAUGGGUAGCGAACAGGAUUAGAUACCCCGGU